AGAUACCCUGUUAUACUAUGUCCAAAAAAUAGUUUAGUGACUGGAGUAGUAAGAAUUAAUUUAUUUAAAAUUCAAAGAGUUUGGCGGUAUUUUAGUCCUGUUAGAGGAACCUGUUUUAUAAACGAUAAUCCUCGAAAUAUCUUUCUUGUUUUUAUGAAGUUAGUAUACCAUCAUUAUUAGAUAAUUCUUUGAUAUGAAUUAUUGUAAUUGAGUUAGUCAAGAAUAUUAGAUCGCGGUGCUGCUUAUAAACAAGUACAAAUGGGUUACAAUAAAAUUGAUUUAUUAGACGGCUCCGUUGGUAAAAAUAACGGUAAAGGUGGAUUUAAUAGUAAUGGAAGUUUAAUAAGCUUGUCUGAUAAAGGCUCUAGAAUGUGUACAUA
This 380-nucleotide ribosomal RNA is filed under the name Arctides regalis. Its description in RNAcentral is "partial 12S ribosomal RNA". The record is from RNAcentral. Lineage: Eukaryota; Metazoa; Arthropoda; Malacostraca; Decapoda; Scyllaridae.